Molecule: ribosomal RNA, 716 nt
Filed under: uncultured Clostridium sp.
Lineage: Bacteria; Bacillati; Bacillota; Clostridia; Eubacteriales; Clostridiaceae
Description: bacterial SSU rRNA
Rfam family: Bacterial small subunit ribosomal RNA
Source: RNAcentral
UGCCUAAUACAUGCAAGUCGAGCGAGAUGUUAGCGCAUGAACCUUCGGGGGAUUAUGCUAACGGAAAGCGGCGGACGGGUGAGUAACGCGUAGGCAACCUGCCCCUGACAGAGGGAUAGCCAUUGGAAACGAUGAUUAAAACCUCAUGACACCGUAGAAGCACAUGCUUCAUCGGUCAAAGAUUUAUCGGUCAGGGAUGGGCCUGCGUCUGAUUAACUAGUUGGUGAGGUAACGGCUCACCAAGGUGACGAUCAGUAGCCGACCUGAGAGGGUGAUCGGCCACAUUGGAACUGAGACACGGUCCAAACUUCUACGGAAGGCAGCAGUAGGGAAUCUUGCACAAUGGGCGAAAGCCUGAUGCAGCAACGCCGCGUGAAGGAUGAAGGCCUUCGGGUUGUAAACUUCUGUUCUAAGGGAAGAAACAAAUGACGGUACCUUAGGAGCAAGCCCCGGCUAACUACGUGCCAGCAGCCGCGGUAAUACGUAGGGGGCAAGCGUUAUCCGGAAUUAUUGGGCGUAAAGAGUGCGUAGGUGGUUACCUAAGCGCAAGGUUUAAUUUAGAGGCUCAACCUCUACUUGCCUUGCGAACUGGGCUACUUGAGUGCAGGAGGGGAAAGCGGAAUUCCUAGUGUAGCGGUGAAAUGCGUAGAUAUUAGGAGGAACACCAGCGGCGAAGGCGGCUUUCUGGACUGUAACUGACACUGAGGCACGAAAGC